This 407-nucleotide ribosomal RNA is filed under the name Verrucomicrobiota bacterium. RNAcentral describes it as "Verrucomicrobia bacterium partial 16S ribosomal RNA". It matches the Rfam family "Bacterial small subunit ribosomal RNA", at positions 355 to 776 of the family's 1533-position model. Lineage: Bacteria; Pseudomonadati; Verrucomicrobiota. The record is from RNAcentral.
UGGGGAAUAUUGGACAAUGGAGGAAACUCUGAUCCAGCAAUUCUGUGUGUGUGAAGAAGGUUUUAGGACUGUAAAACACUUUUAGUAGGGAAGAAAAAAAUGACGGUACCUACAGAAGAAGCAACGGCUAAAUACGUGCCAGCAGCCGCGGUAAUACGUAUGUUGCGAGCGUUAUCCGGAAUUAUUGGGCUUAAAGGGCAUCUAGGCGGUAAGACAAGUUGAAGGUGAAAACCUGUGUCUCAACCAUAGGCUUGCCUACAAAACAGUUGGACUAGAGUACUGGAGAGGGGGGUGGAACUACACGAGUAGAGGUGGAAGUCGUAGAUAUGUGUAGGAAUGCCGAUGAUGAAGAUAACUGACUGGACAGAAACUGACGCUGAAGUGCGAAAGCUAGGGGAGCAAACAGG